Molecule: ribosomal RNA, 490 nt
Filed under: Burkholderia sp. JS2309
Lineage: Bacteria; Pseudomonadati; Pseudomonadota; Betaproteobacteria; Burkholderiales; Burkholderiaceae
Description: bacterial SSU rRNA
Rfam family: Bacterial small subunit ribosomal RNA
Source: RNAcentral
GAUCCAGCAAUGCCGCGUGUGUGAAGAAGGCCUUCGGGUUGUAAAGCACUUUUGUCCGGAAAGAAAACCUCCGUCCUAAUACGAUGGGGGGAUGACGGUACCGGAAGAAUAAGCACCGGCUAACUACGUGCCAGCAGCCGCGGUAAUACGUAGGGUGCAAGCGUUAAUCGGAAUUACUGGGCGUAAAGCGUGCGCAGGCGGUUCGCUAAGACCGAUGUGAAAUCCCCGGGCUUAACCUGGGAACUGCAUUGGUGACUGGCGGGCUAGAGUAUGGCAGAGGGGGGUAGAAUUCCACGUGUAGCAGUGAAAUGCGUAGAGAUGUGGAGGAAUACCGAUGGCGAAGGCAGCCCCCUGGGCCAAUACUGACGCUCAUGCACGAAAGCGUGGGGAGCAAACAGGAUUAGAUACCCUGGUAGUCCACGCCCUAAACGAUGUCAAAUAGUUGUCGGGUCUUCAUUGACUUGGUAACGAAGCUAACGCGUGAAGUGAC